AUACGGAGGAUGCGAGCGUUAUCCGGAUUUAUUGGGUUUAAAGGGUGCGCAGGCGGCCAUUUAAGUCAGCGGUUAAAUCGUGGGGCUCAACCCCAUUCUGCCGUUGAUACUGGGUGGCUUGAUUGCGGUCGAGGUUGGCGGAAUUCGUUGUGUAGCGGUGAAAUGCAUAGAUAUGACGAAGAACACCGAUUGCGUAGGCAGCUGACCAGACCGCAAAUGACGCUCAUGCACGAAAGUGCGGGGAUCGAACAGGAUUAGAUACCCUGGUAGUCCGCACAGUAAACGAUGAAUACUUGUUUUCGGCGAUAUAAUGUCGGAGGCAGAGCGAAAGCGAUAAGUAUUCCACCUGGGGAGUACGCCGGCAACGGUGAAACUCAAAGGAAUUGACGGGG
RNAcentral lists this ribosomal RNA (392 nucleotides) under uncultured bacterium. RNAcentral describes it as "partial 16S ribosomal RNA". It matches the Rfam family "Bacterial small subunit ribosomal RNA", at positions 523 to 918 of the family's 1533-position model. The record is from RNAcentral.